Molecule: ribosomal RNA, 663 nt
Filed under: uncultured Lactobacillus sp.
Lineage: Bacteria; Bacillati; Bacillota; Bacilli; Lactobacillales; Lactobacillaceae
Description: bacterial SSU rRNA
Rfam family: Bacterial small subunit ribosomal RNA
Source: RNAcentral
CUUCAGUGCUGCAGCUAACGCAUUAAGCAUUCCGCCUGGGGAGUACGGCCGCAAGGCUGAAACUCAAAGGAAUUGACGGGGGCCCGCACAAGCGGUGGAGCAUGUGGUUUAAUUCGAAGCUACGCGAAGAACCUUACCAGGUCUCGACAUACUAUGCAAAUCUAAGAGAUUAGACGUUCCCUUCGGGGACAUGGAUACAGGUGGUGCAUGGUUGUCGUCAGCUCGUGUCGUGAGAUGUUGGGUUAAGUCCCGCAACGAGCGCAACCCUUAUUAUCAGUUGCCAGCAUUAAGUUGGGCACUCUGGUGAGACUGCCGGUGACAAACCGGAGGAAGGUGGGGAUGACGUCAAAUCAUCAUGCCCCUUAUGACCUGGGCUACACACGUGCUACAAUGGAUGGUACAACGAGUUGCGAACUCGCGAGAGUAAGCUAAUCUCUUAAAGCCAUUCUCAGUUCGGAUUGUAGGCUGCAACUCGCCUACAUGAAGUCGGAAUCGCUAGUAAUCGCGGAUCAGCAUGCCGCGGUGAAUACGUUCCCGGGCCUUGUACACACCGCCCGUCACACCAUGAGAGUUUGUAACACCCAAAGUCGGUGGGGUAACCUUUAGGAACCAGCCGCCUAAGGUGGGACAGAUGAUUAGGGUGAAGUCGUAACAAGGUAACCA